AUAAUAGACUACCCGGGUAGUCCACGCCGUAAACGAUGCUUACUAGGUUGUGGCGGUUCUGACGCCGGCACGAGCCGAAGCCAAAGUGUUAAGUAAGCCGCCUGGGGAGUACGGUCGCAAGGCUAAAACUCAAAGGAAUUGACGGGGGCUCACACAAGCGGUGGAGCAUGUGGAUUAAUUCGAAGCAACGCGCAGAACCUUACCUGGGUUUGACAUGCUUGGAUGCUUGCCUGGAAACAGGUUAAGCUACCCUUCGGGGUGAAACUUGCACAGGUGCUGCAUGGCUGUCGUCAGCUCGUGUCGUGAGAUGUCGGGUUAAGUCCUCUAACGAGCGAAACCCUUGCCGUUAGUUACCAGCGGGUCAUGCCGGGAACUCUAACGGGACUGCCGGUGUUAAACCGGAGGAAGGUGGGGAUGACGUCAAGUCAUCAUGGCCUUUAUGCCCAGGGCAUCACACGUGCUACAAUGGCCGGUACAAAGCGACGCAAGACCGCGAGGUGGAGCCAAUCGCAAAAAACCGGUCCCAGUUCGGAUUGCAGGCUGGC
RNAcentral lists this ribosomal RNA (545 nucleotides) under uncultured bacterium. RNAcentral's name for it is "bacterial SSU rRNA". It matches the Rfam family "Bacterial small subunit ribosomal RNA", at positions 777 to 1309 of the family's 1533-position model. The record is from RNAcentral.